Molecule: ribosomal RNA, 253 nt
Filed under: uncultured bacterium
Lineage: Bacteria
Description: partial 16S ribosomal RNA
Rfam family: Bacterial small subunit ribosomal RNA
Source: RNAcentral
UACGUAGGGGGCAAGCGUUGUCCGGAAUCACUGGGCGUAAAGGGUGCGCAGGCGGCUUCUUAAGUCAGAGGUGAAAUCUCACGGCUUAACCGUGGAACUGCCUUUGAUACUGCAGAUCUUGAGUUUGGGAGAGGUUGAUGGAAUUCCAGGUGUAGCGGUGAAAUGCGUAGAUAUCUGGAAGAACACCAGUGGCGAAGGCGGUCAACUGGCCCGUAACUGACGCUCAGGCACGAAAGCGUGGGGAGCGAACAGG